Molecule: long non-coding RNA, 529 nt
Organism: Populus trichocarpa (black cottonwood)
Lineage: Eukaryota; Viridiplantae; Streptophyta; Magnoliopsida; Malpighiales; Salicaceae
Exons: 2
Source: RefSeq, a predicted model, not a curated record
AAAAGAAGAAAAUUGUAAGGAACAAGAUCUUUUGAGAUCCAUUUCUUUUUUACUUUGGCAGCUUUUUUUUGUUUUUGGUUGGUUACAUGUGGCCGCCCUCUAAUUUCCAUCAUCUCUUCUAGAGAAGCUUCAAAGAUCUUCCCUGCAAGAAUGAGCUAGCAUGCUUGAGAUAUCGCCAUCAGAUGAUAUUUUGAUGUUAAAAAGGCAGACAGAACCUUGGAUUAAUGAAUUAGGCCAAGUACCUGAAAAUGAGUAGCUGAAAAACCCUGUGAAUAAUCCAAUACACUCUCCAUCGAAGCUUGGUUGUUGGAGAGAGCAGAAUUAUUCUGCUAUAUAUUGUAAAAAAUAAACAACAAAGCAAGGUUAAUAUCAAGAAUAAUGAAGGUAUGAUACAAAACGUGAGAAUUCUCUAAUUGGCAUUCUAUAUGUAGAAAAUAUUGCUAUAAGGCUGUAUGUUUAUGAACAAACCAUGGAGAAGUUGAAAGCUGGAGAGCUAGCAGUAUCGUCAAGAAAAGAAGGCAUUUGUUGA